AUGAAAAUUUUAUGCUGGAACUGCCGUGGGAUAGGCGAUCCCGCGACAGUUCGUGAAUUACGUGAUCUCGUGGAGAUCAGUUCGCCUUCUAUCUUGUGUUUAGUUGAAACCCAGUUACAGAAGGGUCGUGUCGAAGGUUUACGCACGUCGUUAGGGUAUGAUUUCAGCUUUGGUGUCGGUAGUAGUGGUCGUAGUGGAGGUCUUUGUAUUUUUUGGAAAAACUCUUUGGAUGUUUCAAUAAAGAACUUUUCGGAGUAUCACGUGGAUGCCUGGGUCACUGAACCGGGUAACGAGCAAUGGAGAUUGACGUGUUUCUAUGGUGAAGCUACCAGGAGCCUUCGGUAUAAAACUUGGGACACCAUGAAGCGUUUGAGGGGAGAGAGUACACUCCCAUGGAUGUGCAUUGGGGACUUUAAUGAGAUAUUGCGGCCCGAAGAGCAGCAUGGACCAAAUGAGCGUGAUAGCUCGCAGAUAGAUGCAUUCAGAGAAGCCAUUGAUAUUUGCGGCCUAGCCGACCUGGGGUAUCGG
RNAcentral lists this ribosomal RNA (528 nucleotides) under Triticum aestivum (bread wheat). Its description in RNAcentral is "partial small subunit ribosomal RNA". The record is from RNAcentral. Lineage: Eukaryota; Viridiplantae; Streptophyta; Magnoliopsida; Poales; Poaceae.